CAGAAAGUAGUUUAAAAAAAAUGUUAGUUUUGGGAAUUAGCGAUAGGGGUUCUCUCUUUCUGA
RNAcentral lists this transfer RNA (63 nucleotides) under Pandalus borealis (northern shrimp). Its description in RNAcentral is "tRNA-Pro". It matches the Rfam family "tRNA". From Rfam's summary of the family: Transfer RNA (tRNA) molecules are approximately 80 nucleotides in length. Their secondary structure includes four short double-helical elements and three loops (D, anti-codon, and T loops). Further hydrogen bonds mediate the characteristic L-shaped molecular structure. tRNAs have two regions of fundamental functional importance: the anti-codon, which is responsible for specific mRNA codon recognition, and the 3' end, to which the tRNAs corresponding amino acid is attached (by aminoacyl-tRNA synthetases). tRNAs cope with the degeneracy of the genetic code in two manners: having more than one tRNA (with a specific anti-codon) for a particular amino acid; and 'wobble' base-pairing, i.e. permitting non-standard base-pairing at the 3rd anti-codon position. The record is from RNAcentral. Lineage: Eukaryota; Metazoa; Arthropoda; Malacostraca; Decapoda; Pandalidae.